Zophobas morio is the source of this 476-nucleotide long non-coding RNA. RefSeq lists it as uncharacterized. The transcript is spliced from 6 exons. NCBI's taxonomy places the organism in Eukaryota, Metazoa, Arthropoda, Insecta, Coleoptera, Tenebrionidae. The record is from RefSeq and is a predicted model, not a curated record.
AAGCAUUUGAACCGGCCAACGUUGGAUGAAACUUCUGAAGAGGAAUCUAUAAUCGAACAAAAAACUCAAGAAAUAACUAAAUUGAUUCAAAGAACGCAAAAGAAAAUAAAAGAAAUCGAAGGUUAUUCUAAAAAGACCAGUUCUGUACAAGAAGCGGAAAUUUGCAAGAACGUGAUGCUUUCUUUGGCUUAUGAACUUCAGCAGAUUUCAUAUUCGUUCCGUAAUACUCAGUCUUCUUACUUGAAACGCAAAGAUCCGAGGGAGGGAAGAAAAGAAACGGUUUUACUUUACUGAUGAUUUUUUUACUUCCAAUGAAUCAGUUAUUGAUCUUCCACAGGAGAAGGAGUUUUCUGAAGCUCAACUUCUGGAAAUCCAGCAUAAUAAAGAUCAUAUUUUAUUACGCGAUCGAGAAAUCGCUAAAAUUGCGGCAUCAAUAAAAAGUUUAGGAGAAAUUUUUAACGAUCUUUCAAAUAUGA